RNAcentral lists this long non-coding RNA (232 nucleotides) under Gossypium barbadense (sea-island cotton). RNAcentral describes it as "long non-coding RNA (GBAR_LNC002511)". The record is from RNAcentral. Lineage: Eukaryota; Viridiplantae; Streptophyta; Magnoliopsida; Malvales; Malvaceae.
AAAAAUACGAACAACUAUGUUAUAAUUUGAUUGUUAUCUGUUGACACUGCUUAAAACUUACUAAGCAUUGUAAUGCUUACUCUGUUUACUCUGUUUCCUCUGUUUUAUAGAUCUCAUUUGGAAGCUACAGGCUCGGGGAUCAUCAGCAACUAGUCACACUAUCACUAUCCAUUGUUUGGUACCGCUACGUUUUGGAUUAUCUUAUGGCAUGUAUAGAAUAGACUAGUGGCGG